AGGACGAACGCUGGCGGCGUGCUUAACACAUGCAAGUCGAGCGGAAAGGCCCUUCGGGGUACUCGAGCGGCGAACGGGUGAGUGACACGUGAGCAACCUGCCCCUGGCUCUGGGGAUAGCCUCCGGAAACGGGGAUUAAUACCGGACAUGACCCUUGACCGCAUGGUUGGGGGUGGAAAGUUUUCGGCCAGGGUGGGCUCGCGGCCUAUCAGCUUGGUGGGGGGGUGACGGCCCACCAAGGCGACGACGGGUAG
Molecule: ribosomal RNA, 254 nt
Filed under: uncultured bacterium
Lineage: Bacteria
Description: partial small subunit ribosomal RNA
Rfam family: Bacterial small subunit ribosomal RNA
Source: RNAcentral